UACGUAGGGGGCGAGCGUUGUCCGGAUUUAUUGGGCGUAAAGAGCUCGUAGGUGGUUCGGUAAGUCGGGUGUGAAAACUCUGGGCUCAACUCAGAGACGCCACCCGAUACUGCUGUGACUCGAGUCUGGUAGGGGAGUGUGGAAUUCCCAGUGUAGCGGUGAAAUGCGUAGAUAUCUGGAGGAACACCGGUGGCGAAGGCGGCAUCCUGGACCGACACUGACACUGAGGAGCGAAAGCCAGGGGAGCAAACGGG
This 254-nucleotide ribosomal RNA is filed under the name uncultured bacterium. RNAcentral's name for it is "partial 16S ribosomal RNA". It matches the Rfam family "Bacterial small subunit ribosomal RNA", at positions 524 to 776 of the family's 1533-position model. The record is from RNAcentral.